This 253-nucleotide ribosomal RNA is filed under the name uncultured bacterium. RNAcentral describes it as "partial 16S ribosomal RNA". It matches the Rfam family "Bacterial small subunit ribosomal RNA", at positions 524 to 776 of the family's 1533-position model. The record is from RNAcentral.
GACGAAGGAUGCAAGCGUUAUCCGGAUUCAUUGGGGUUAAAGGGAGCGUAGGCGGCUUUAUAAGUCCGUGGUGAAAUCUCUCGGCUUAACCGAGAAAUUGCCAUUGAUACUGUAGGGCUUGAGUACAGUUGCCGUUGGCGGAAUAUGACAUGUAGUGGUGAAAUACAUAGAGAUGUCAUAGAACACCGAUUGCGAAGGCAGCUAACGAAGCUGUAACUGACGCUGAGGCUCGAAAGUGCGGGGAUCAAACAGG